This 253-nucleotide ribosomal RNA is filed under the name uncultured bacterium. Its description in RNAcentral is "partial 16S ribosomal RNA". It matches the Rfam family "Bacterial small subunit ribosomal RNA", at positions 524 to 776 of the family's 1533-position model. The record is from RNAcentral.
UACGGGGGGGGUAAGCGUUGUUCGGAUUCAUUGGGCGUAAAGGGUGUGUAGGUGGCGCGCUAAGUCGGGUGUGAAAUUUCGGAGCUUAACUCCGAAACUGCAUUCGAUACUGGCGUGCUUGAGGACUGGAGAGGAGACUGGAAUUCAUGGUGUAGCAGUGAAAUGCGUAGAGAUCAUGAGGAAGACCAGUGGCGAAGGCGGGUCUCUGGACAGUUCCUGACACUGAGACACGAAGGCCAGGGGAGCAAACGGG